RNAcentral lists this long non-coding RNA (818 nucleotides) under Olea europaea subsp. europaea. The record is from RNAcentral. Lineage: Eukaryota; Viridiplantae; Streptophyta; Magnoliopsida; Lamiales; Oleaceae.
AAUUAUUCCUUGUUCAUCCAAAAUCUUGUAUAAUAUUUUGUCCCUCUACAUAAUCAAAUUCCUUAAUUUUCACUUGUUCAUUUGGAAGAUCAAUUUUUGCUUUUUUGGUGUUCUUUCAUAGGCUUUAUAAUCCUGCAAACUAUUUACCAUUUUCAAUCCUUAAAAUCAAAUCGGAAGGGGGCAAAUAUUGUUUGAGGAUAGCGAUAUAUUCUUCGAGUUCAAGUCUUCUUUGAUCUAUAUCCGUUCAUUUCUUCUCUUUUUCCUCCAUUGCUGUGAAUUUGAGUGGUAGUGCCUUCCGGGAUUUGAACCCCAGCUAGAACGUCAAUUAGACAUAAGGGAAGCAUCACACGGAUGUAAGAGAAAGCAAAGAGAAAAUAUUUGAAUGGGGAAUAAUUUAUCAAGGUGACAAAUGCAAAAGUCCCUGACACUUCAACCGCGCGCGUGAACAAGGAUGUAAGAUUGACAGCAUAUCAAGAGUUGUGCAUAAAUAAUUAUUCAUAGUCAGCAUUUACAAGUGCCGAUAUCAUUUGAGGGGGAAAUGGUUACAUCACUUGGCACGGAAGCUUCAUAGAUAUCAGGUCAUUUUUAAACAGCCAGGGAUUGUAACAAGGGUCCGUGAUGUGGAGUUAGGCAUUCAGUAUACAUUUUCUGAGUUGAGUCUGUAUUAAUUUGUGACUGUUUCCUAAAACAGACUUACAUUGAAAAACGCACACACUGGGUUUUGCAUAUUGCACUUCAGAAAUAUCACCCAAGUCUUGAGAAAUUUCAAGUAAUUCCCUAAAAAUUCUAAAAGGGGAGUCUCACUGAUUACACCGGAA